Molecule: ribosomal RNA, 253 nt
Filed under: uncultured prokaryote
Description: partial 16S ribosomal RNA
Rfam family: Bacterial small subunit ribosomal RNA
Source: RNAcentral
UACGGAGGGGGCGAGCGUUAUUCGGAAUUAUUGGGCGUAAAGGGCGCGUAGGCGGCUUCAUAAGUCAAAGGUGAAAUCCCUCGGCUCAACUGAGGAACUGCCUUUGAAACUGUGAGGCUUGAGGCCGGGAGGGGGUAGCGGAAUCCCUGGUGUAGCGGUGAAAUGCGUAGAUAUCAGGAGGAACACCGGUGGUGUAGACGGCUUUCUGGACCGUAACUGACGCUGAGACACGAAAGCGUGGGUAGCAAACAGG